Molecule: non-coding RNA, 4081 nt
Organism: Styela clava
Lineage: Eukaryota; Metazoa; Chordata; Ascidiacea; Stolidobranchia; Styelidae
Source: RefSeq, a predicted model, not a curated record
UUUUAGGGAUAAAUUCGUUAUUUCAGGUAAAAUUCAUUAAAAAGACUGGAAAUUGCUAAUUUCUCCAAAUUCAUGAAUUGGAUCGAUAUAGGGCCCGUUGUAAUUGGACAAACAGAUGACAACUAAAAAUAUAGUUGGAUCGAUGGCACCAGAUGCUAAUUAGUAUUCCAACCCGAAUCGAUAACCCUAAUGGAAUCGAUAUCACCAUACGCGCAUACGUAUAUAUAAGGUUUCAAUUGGAUAUUUGGGGGGAUGUAUUGAAGCGGUUUGGUAUUUGGAGUCAAGUCAUCUGGAUCGGUGUCGUGUCGUCAUGUCUUCAUCGUUUGUUCUCCGUGUCAACGUCAAAACGUGUUUUAAUGGCUAAAUAUCUACAGCCUUUAUCUACUUCAACAACGUGUUCCUAUAUGCUACAUGUUCUUAACUGGCUAAAAAGUCUGAAACAUGCUUUUUAAUUUCAAAUAACACCGAACACCAGUUACAUUCCUGUUCUCACUAUGUUUUAUAUAUAGGGCACCAGUCUCGGAGGAAAUGAUCCGGACCUGGUUAUAUCAUCAAUAUUCAACAAUAAGUGCCUAGCUAAUCAGUGGGCAGUCUAUCAAGACCAUUCAAGUGAAGAUGGCUAUACUGUGUAAUUAAUAUCGUUUUGCUGUGCAUUAGUUGCAAUGUAGAGUAGAGCCGAUUAUCAAGCAUUCAUAAACAUGUGCGAAAAACGGUAUGCGUAUUUCUAAUUCAAAAUAGUUAUUCUCGCUAGCUAGUCGUUUCCCAUUUUCUAAAAUAAGCCGAGAUUUUGCAAAAAAAAGCAGCCAAAUCAUGAAUGUUUAGGAAAUAGAAUAAAUGUAAAGAACUGCUUAAAAUUUUCUGCGAAGUUCUAUUAACGAAAUGAUUGUUCUCGCUAGCUAGCCGUUUUUAUUUUCCCAAAUUAGUCGAGGCAUUACGAGAACAUGCCCCAAAUUAUGUCUAUUUAAUUAAGGAAAUCAAAUUAUGUGUUAAGUACUGCUUAAAACGUUCCGCGAAUUCUGCCCUCCAAAACAACUGCUCUCGCUAGCUAGUCGUUUCCAAGUUCUAAAAUAAUCCGAGUUUUUGCAAAAACAGCUCACAAUUUAUAAAUGUUUUGGAAAAUAAAAUACGUGUAAAGAUCUGCUUAAAAUUUUCUGCGAAUUUCUAUUAACAGAAUGAGUGUUCUCGCUAGUUGGCCGUUUUCUAUUUUCCAAAAUUAGUCGAGGCAUUGCGAAAACAUGCCCCAAAUUAUGAUUACUUUAGGAAAUGAAAUUAUGUGUAAGUACUGCUUGAAACGUUCCGCGAAUGUCUAUUUCCGCAACUAUUGUUCUCGUUAGCUAGAUUCGCGACAAAAUUUUGCAAAAGCAGCUCCAAAUUAUGUAUAUUUCGCAAAAUUAAAUAGGAGAUUCUCUUUAUUUAACUCAACCUAAUGACCGACAUUAAUUUCCCCCCUUUCAAAUGAUUAACCAAUGCCCAAGCUUAAUAAUAAUAGGUAGAAACAUUUGCUUAUAUUGAGGUUUUCUAAUAAUAAUCGUUCAUUUUUCAAAACUGUUGAAAACCGUCAGUCGUCAAACGCCUAAAUAAUAUUUCACCGUGAUUUCAAUACUGUUAAUAUUCGAUUUCACUGAAGGUAUUAGUUUGAGCUACAACGCGAGAUAACUAUAUCUAGUCUUGCUCUAUUAGUUUGACAUAUUUGCAUUCAUGUAAACUGAAUUCGCCUCCAAUCAGUAAUGAAGUCUUAAACUUGCUUUUUCAAUUUCAGAUAGCACAGAACACUAGUUCCAUUCCUUCUAUUAGUAUGUUUCAUAUAUAUAUAGGACACCAAAGUCGUGGAGACAAUGAUCCGGGCUUGGUUAUAUCAAUAUUAUGUCCCCAGCUAUUCAGUGGGCAGUCUAUCAAGACCAUUCAAGUAAAUAUGACUGUGUAUGUACCAUAUAAUAAUAUAUACACAUACAUACUAUGUAAUCAAUAGCGUUUUGCUUUGCAUUAGUUGCAAUGUAGAGUAGAGCCGACUAUCAAGCAUUCAGAAAUACUAGCAAAAAAUUCUGCGUAUUUCUAAUUCUAAAUAAUUGUUCUCGCCAGCUAGGUGUUUCUCAUUUUCUAAAAUAAAUCAAAACAGCUCACAAAUUAUGAAUGUUUUAGAAAAUAAAAUAAGUGUAAAGAAAUGCUCAAAACGUUCUGCGAACUUAUAUUAACAAAGCGAUUGUUCUCGCCAGUUAGCCGUUUUCUAUUUCCAAAAUUAGUCGAAGCAUUGCGAAAACAAGCCACAAAUUAUGUUUUUUCAAGAAAUAAAAUUAAGUGUUAAAUACUGCUUGAAACGUUCCGCGAAUUUCUAUUUCCGCAACUAUUGUUCUCGUUAGUUGGACGCGCUCCAAAAUUUUGCAGGAGCAGCUUCACAUUAUGAAUAUUUCGGAAAACGAAACAAGAGAUUCUCUUUAUUUAACUCAACCUAUUGACUCUCAUUAAUUUCGCCCUUUUUCAAUGAGUACCCAAUGCCCAAGCUUAAUAAUAAUAGGUAGAAACAUUUGCUCAUAUUAAGGUUUUCUAUUUAUAAUAAUCUAUUUCCUCAAUGCUGUUAUAAAGCUUCAGUUUAAUCACUUUUCAUAUUUGAUUUCACCGUGGGCAUUAGUUUGAGCUACAGCAUGGAAUUCUAUCUAGUCUUGCUGUAUUAGUUUGGCAGAUUUGUAUUCGUAUAAUAAUGAACGGAUGUUGUAGCCAGGGAUGAAUUGAACCAUUGAGCAAAAUAGGAACUUGCCUAGGGCACCAAAUUAAUGGGGCACCACAGAAAUUAUCAUAGACACUUUUCAAUAGUGCCUCAGUGUUUAUUGAAAUGAUUGGUCAGCUUGGAAAGGCUAUUCAGACCCCAAUAGCCGUAUGGUUGAGAUGACUUUUGCUUGAUUUUUUAGCUAUCGCCAUCCAUCUAUAAAUGUUUGUAGGCAUGAGAUGAGAACUUUUUGAAAGGAGAUUAUUAAAAUUAAAUUAGCCUUCAAUCAAUAAUAAAGUCUGAAACUUGCUCUUUCAAUUUCAUAUAACACGGAACACUAGUUACAUUCCUAUUUUUAGUAUGUUUAUAUAUAGGGCACUAAAGUCCUAGGUAGAGGCAAUGACUCGGGCCUGGUUAUAUCAACAAUAUGUCCCCAGAUAAUAAGUGGGUAGUCUAUCAAAACCACUCAAGUAAAGAUGACUGUGUAUAUACUAUAUAAUAAUAGAGUCGACUAAAAAGCAUUCAGAAAUAUUUGCGAAAAACGUUUCGUGAAUUUUAACCCCCAAAACAUUGGUUCUCGCUAGCUAGUCGUUUUCAAUUUUCAAAAUAAGUCAAGUCUUUGCAAAAAAAACUCACAAAUUAUGAAUGUUUCAGGAAAUGAAAUCGGUGUAAAGUACUGCUUGAAACGUUCCGCGAAUUUUUACCUCCAAAACAAUUGUUCUCGCUAGCUAGUCGUUUUAUUUUUACAAUGAUCCGAGUGUUUGCAAAAACAGCUCACAAAUUAUGAAUGAUUUAGAAAAUAAAAUCAGUGUAGGGUAGCCUACUGCUUGAAACGUUCCGCGAAUUUACAUUUCCGCAACUAUUGUUCUCGUUAGCAAGACUCGCGUCAAAAUUUUGCAAGAGCAUGCAGCUUCAAAUUAUGAAUAUUUUGGAAAAAUGAAAUAAUUCGCUUUAUUUAACUGAACAUAAUGACCCUCAUUAACUUUGCUCUUUUUUAAUGAUUACCCAAUGCCCAAGCUUAAUAAAAAGUAGAAACAUUUGCUCAUAUUGAUUUUUCCUAUUUGUGAUAAUUCAUUUCUUUUAUGUUACUUUGUUUCUCUCGUUUUAAUUAAACUGCAACAGUGCAUUCGAUAAAAAAGAAAGAAGCGAAGAACGAUUAUAUAUUCUGGAUACUUCGAGCAGGGAAUAACAGUUUUCUUGGGGGAAAAAGCUUGUUGGAGAUCCUGGACUGAACUCAGUACUUUUCGUAUAACUGUUUGUUAUAUAUCAGUGAAAUAGCAAAAUCUUUUCCAUGUUCUAUACAUAGCUUAACGCUUUAGCCAAUAGGCCAUCGCACAAACAUCUUCAAAAAAAAAAUAAAACUUGUUCAAAUCAGCAAAA